This 1558-nucleotide ribosomal RNA is filed under the name Salmonella enterica. RNAcentral describes it as "bacterial LSU rRNA". It matches the Rfam family "Bacterial large subunit ribosomal RNA", at positions 1271 to 2812 of the family's 2925-position model. The record is from RNAcentral. Lineage: Bacteria; Pseudomonadati; Pseudomonadota; Gammaproteobacteria; Enterobacterales; Enterobacteriaceae.
UGCUGGAGGUAUCAGAAGUGCGAAUGCUGACAUAAGUAACGAUAAAGCGGGUGAAAAGCCCGCUCGCCGGAAGACCAAGGGUUCCUGUCCAACGUUAAUCGGGGCAGGGUGAGUCGACCCCUAAGGCGAGGCCGAAAGGCGUAGUCGAUGGGAAACGGGUUAAUAUUCCCGUACUUGGUGUUACUGCGAAGGGGGGACGGAGAAGGCUAUGUUGGCCGGGCGACGGUUGUCCCGGUUUAAGCGUGUAGGUGUGUGUUCCAGGUAAAUCCGGUUCACUUUAACACUGAGGCGUGACGACGAGGCACUACGGUGCUGAAGCAACAAAUGCCCUGCUUCCAGGAAAAGCCUCUAAGCAUCAGGUAACACGAAAUCGUACCCCAAACCGACACAGGUGGUCAGGUAGAGAAUACCAAGGCGCUUGAGAGAACUCGGGUGAAGGAACUAGGCAAAAUGGUGCCGUAACUUCGGGAGAAGGCACGCUGACACGUAGGUGAAGUGAUUUACUCAUGGAGCUGAAGUCAGUCGAAGAUACCAGCUGGCUGCAACUGUUUAUUAAAAACACAGCACUGUGCAAACACGAAAGUGGACGUAUACGGUGUGACGCCUGCCCGGUGCCGGAAGGUUAAUUGAUGGGGUCAGCGCAAGCGAAGCUCCUGAUCGAAGCCCCGGUAAACGGCGGCCGUAACUAUAACGGUCCUAAGGUAGCGAAAUUCCUUGUCGGGUAAGUUCCGACCUGCACGAAUGGCGUAAUGAUGGCCAGGCUGUCUCCACCCGAGACUCAGUGAAAUUGAACUCGCUGUGAAGAUGCAGUGUACCCGCGGCAAGACGGAAAGACCCCGUGAACCUUUACUAUAGCUUGACACUGAACAUUGAGCCUUGAUGUGUAGGAUAGGUGGGAGGCUUUGAAGCGUGGACGCCAGUCUGCGUGGAGCCGACCUUGAAAUACCACCCUUUAAUGUUUGAUGUUCUAACGUGGACCCGUAAUCCGGGUUGCGGACAGUGUCUGGUGGGUAGUUUGACUGGGGCGGUCUCCUCCUAAAGAGUAACGGAGGAGCACGAAGGUUGGCUAAUCCUGGUCGGACAUCAGGAGGUUAGUGCAAUGGCAUAAGCCAGCUUGACUGCGAGCGUGACGGCGCGAGCAGGUGCGAAAGCAGGUCAUAGUGAUCCGGUGGUUCUGAAUGGAAGGGCCAUCGCUCAACGGAUAAAAGGUACUCCGGGGAUAACAGGCUGAUACCGCCCAAGAGUUCAUAUCGACGGCGGUGUUUGGCACCUCGAUGUCGGCUCAUCACAUCCUGGGGCUGAAGUAGGUCCCAAGGGUAUGGCUGUUCGCCAUUUAAAGUGGUACGCGAGCUGGGUUUAGAACGUCGUGAGACAGUUCGGUCCCUAUCUGCCGUGGGCGCUGGAGAACUGAGGGGGGCUGCUCCUAGUACGAGAGGACCGGAGUGGACGCAUCACUGGUGUUCGGGUUGUCAUGCCAAUGGCACUGCCCGGUAGCUAAAUGCGGAAGAGAUAAGUGCUGAAAGCAUCUAAGCACGAAACUUGCCCCGAGAUGAGUUCU